CUACAACGGACCGUACAAAGUAGGUACGCCCGACAUCUCCUCUAUCUACGCCUAGAAAUACCAAAGCCCGCCAUAGGGUCCCACAAAUUAUGCAAGUGGCCAGUAACCAUCUCUUUAAUUGACGUCUCCUGCCCGAUCAAGGUAACUUCGGAAACCCUAACUACAGAUCGAUUGCAGAAACGACGACUUGAAUUGCCAUGGAUAAUACAAGGAAAGGAAGUCGAGGACGCCUUUUCGAAGGUCUCUACAGAGUUAUCAUGCGCCGUAACUCUAUCUACGUUACUUUUAUCAUCGCCGGUGCUUUUGCCGGGGAAAGGGCUGUGGAUUAUGGUGUUCGUAAGAUCUGGGAGUACAAUAAUGUUGGGAAACGGUAUGAAGACAUUCCUGUUCUGGGGCAAAGGCAAGCUGAAGAAUAGAUUAGUGAACUCCUAUUCCUUGCCAUAUUGAAGUUCCAUUUAAAAAUUUAGAGUUCGAACUCUUGCUCAUCUUCACCAAGACUUGCUUUCUAGUAUGGUGUUAGCCUUUCUUGACUCACAAGUGUGUCGGGUGAUAAUUCAGUGUAACAAUGUGUUGGGAUCUAAAAGACAUUUUUAAUGUUUGUGGAAACUGGGCAGUGCUUUGACAGAUUCAUUGCCCAAGACCUCAGAAAUUUGUGAAACCAAAUGAUGUUUUUCUUGUUCCUUGGAAUAAACUGUUAAUAUAUUCAAGUUAAUGAUGUAUUUACAAACCGGCA
This is an RNA transcript of Mangifera indica (mango), 733 nucleotides long. It is a transcript of the gene named cytochrome b-c1 complex subunit 9, mitochondrial-like, with no coding region annotated. The transcript has 4 exons. The record is from RefSeq and is a predicted model, not a curated record. Lineage: Eukaryota; Viridiplantae; Streptophyta; Magnoliopsida; Sapindales; Anacardiaceae.